ACCCUUGAGUCUCCAUACCCAUCAGACCUAAACAGUCAUCUGAUUGGUUAUAAAAAGAGGAAAAGUAGAAUUGAAACUGACUUCAAUUUGUGACACAUGGGCUAGUUUCAAAUAAAG
RNAcentral lists this small nucleolar RNA (117 nucleotides) under Echinops telfairi (small Madagascar hedgehog). RNAcentral's name for it is "Small nucleolar RNA SNORA61 (ENSETEG00000024511.1)". The record is from RNAcentral. Lineage: Eukaryota; Metazoa; Chordata; Mammalia; Afrosoricida; Tenrecidae.